Molecule: transfer RNA, 56 nt
Filed under: Ovis aries (sheep)
Lineage: Eukaryota; Metazoa; Chordata; Mammalia; Artiodactyla; Bovidae
Rfam family: tRNA
About the family: Transfer RNA (tRNA) molecules are approximately 80 nucleotides in length. Their secondary structure includes four short double-helical elements and three loops (D, anti-codon, and T loops).
Source: Rfam by way of RNAcentral
UGGCUCAGAUGGUAAAGCAUCUGCCUGCAAUGCAGGAGACCGGGGUUCAAUCCUUG